GACAGAGGGUGCAAACGUUGUUCGGAAUUACUGGGCGUAAAGCGCGUGUAGGCUGCUCGAAAAGUCGGAUGUGAAAGCCCUGGGCUCAACCUAGGAAGUGCACCCGAAACUCUCGAGCUUGAGUACUGGAGAGGAAGGCGGAAUUCUUGGUGUAGAGGUGAAAUUCGUAGAUAUCAAGAGGAACACCGGUGGCGAAGGCGGCCUUCUGGACAGUCACUGACGCUGAGACGCGAAAGCGUGGGGAGCAAACAGG
This 253-nucleotide ribosomal RNA is filed under the name uncultured bacterium. RNAcentral describes it as "partial 16S ribosomal RNA". It matches the Rfam family "Bacterial small subunit ribosomal RNA", at positions 524 to 776 of the family's 1533-position model. The record is from RNAcentral.